Molecule: non-coding RNA, 30 nt
Filed under: Rattus norvegicus (Norway rat)
Lineage: Eukaryota; Metazoa; Chordata; Mammalia; Rodentia; Muridae
Source: RNAcentral
UGAUGUCAUCAGCAGGAAACACAGAAUGGU